CCUACGGGCGGCAGCAGUGGGGAAUAUUGGACAAUGGGGGGAACCCUGAUCCAGCCAUGCCGCGUGUGUGAAGAAGGCCCUCGGGUUGUAAAGCACUUUCAGUGAGGAAGAACGCCUGGUGGUUAAUACCCAUCAGGAAAGACAUCACUCACAGAAGAAGCACCGGCUAACUCCGUGCCAGCAGCCGCGGUAAUACGGAGGGUGCGAGCGUUAAUCGGAAUUACUGGGCGUAAAGCGCGCGUAGGUGGCUUGAUAAGCCGGUUGUGAAAGCCCCGGGCUCAACCUGGGAACGGCAUACGGAACUGUCAAGCUAGAGUGCAGGAGAGGAAGGUAGAAUUCCCGGUGUAGCGGUGAAAUGCGUAGAGAUCGGGAGGAAUACCAGUGGCGAAGGCGGCCUUCUGGACUGACACUGACACUGAGGUGCGAAAGCGUGGGUAGCAAACAGGAUUAGAUACCCGAGUAGUC
RNAcentral lists this ribosomal RNA (465 nucleotides) under Vreelandella stevensii. RNAcentral describes it as "partial 16S ribosomal RNA". It matches the Rfam family "Bacterial small subunit ribosomal RNA", at positions 338 to 795 of the family's 1533-position model. The record is from RNAcentral. Lineage: Bacteria; Pseudomonadati; Pseudomonadota; Gammaproteobacteria; Oceanospirillales; Halomonadaceae.